Raphanus sativus (radish) is the source of this 469-nucleotide long non-coding RNA. RefSeq lists it as uncharacterized. NCBI's taxonomy places the organism in Eukaryota, Viridiplantae, Streptophyta, Magnoliopsida, Brassicales, Brassicaceae. The record is from RefSeq and is a predicted model, not a curated record. The transcript is spliced from 2 exons.
UGUAGAUUAAUUUCAGGUUUUAUGAUGGAGAGAUCGCCUCCUUGUCAAAAUUGAGAGCCCACCAUAUGAGACCACGAUCGAGAAGUCUACUACCUUUUUUGUUUAUGAUCCCACUUGGUUUCCCACUUAGGUCAAGUGGAGAAUUUAUAUAAGAAAAAAAACAUUUUGCAAAAGCGGAGUUGUAUAGCGGUCAAACUGGAACGAGGUGAUUUGAAUGUUUACAAAAGACGACAACUACUCUUAUCACAUUAUUCUUGCAUGAUGCGUAAUUCACGUGUUCGUACAGUAGCGCAUUAAGACGCAACUUAGCUAGUUUUCGUAUUAUCUUUCAAUCAAAGACCAAUUUUAUUUUUAAUUAAUUUUAAAUACUAAACGUAGGUAUGGCUUGUGUUAAAUAAACGUAGUUGUGUCUUUUGUUUAUGAACGGCACAUUUGCAUUCAUUAUCAAACGAAUUUAUAUUUAAGUCUA